UGAGCCGGUUGGGUGACCGCGGGCCGGCUUGACCGGUUCGAGGAAAGUCGGGGCUCCAAAGGGCAAGGUGCUGGCGAAUAACCAGUCGGAGUGAUCCGCAGGAAAGUGCAACAGAAAGCAAACCGCCGAUGGCCCGGUUUACCGGGCACAGGUAAGGGUGAAACGGUGCGGUAAGAGCGCACCAGCAUUCGAAGCGAUUCGGAUGGCUCUGUAAACCCCACCUGGAGCAAGGCCGAGCGUCGGGAUUGACUGCCCGUCAGUUGUUUCGAAAGAGACAACACCCGCUGGUAGGCCGCACAGAUGGAUGGUCACACAGGCGCCGGGAGGCGCUGGACAAAACCCCGCUUACAGACCGACUCACCAU
RNAcentral lists this RNase P RNA (364 nucleotides) under Acidimicrobiia bacterium. RNAcentral's name for it is "RNase P RNA component class A". It matches the Rfam family "Bacterial RNase P class A". Rfam says of the family: Ribonuclease P (RNase P) is a ubiquitous endoribonuclease, found in archaea, bacteria and eukarya as well as chloroplasts and mitochondria. Its best characterised activity is the generation of mature 5'-ends of tRNAs by cleaving the 5'-leader elements of precursor-tRNAs. The record is from RNAcentral. Lineage: Bacteria; Bacillati; Actinomycetota; Acidimicrobiia.